Molecule: long non-coding RNA, 300 nt
Organism: Triticum dicoccoides
Lineage: Eukaryota; Viridiplantae; Streptophyta; Magnoliopsida; Poales; Poaceae
Exons: 3
Source: RefSeq, a predicted model, not a curated record
UGAGGAUGAAGAGGUGAAUGGUGUUGAUUAUUGAACUGAAAGCUUGAUUUGGUCAGGUGGAGGGUGGCUUUGUGAAGGAUGUGGAGGUGGGAGAAGAAGAACUCUGAAGGAAAGCGGUGAGUAGAUGUCGAUGAUGUCUACUUGCUUGGCUGCUAUGGUGAUGCAUGCACCGGUGAAGCACGCGCACAUUUAAGGCUGGCCCCAUGUCUUCCUUGGCUGCGAACAUCAUCUACAGGCUAGCAGUAUGACCGGAUGCAAGGACCUGCUCAUUGACCAGGACAAUCUAUGAGCUCCCAGCGC